GGGCUUGUAACUCAGUGGUAGAGUGCUCGCUUCGCAUGCGAGAAGUCGGGGGUUCAAUUCCCCUCAAGUCCA
The sequence is a transfer RNA, 72 nucleotides long. It matches the Rfam family "tRNA". From Rfam's summary of the family: Transfer RNA (tRNA) molecules are approximately 80 nucleotides in length. The record is from Rfam.